RNAcentral lists this ribosomal RNA (253 nucleotides) under uncultured bacterium. Its description in RNAcentral is "partial 16S ribosomal RNA". It matches the Rfam family "Bacterial small subunit ribosomal RNA", at positions 524 to 776 of the family's 1533-position model. The record is from RNAcentral.
UACGUAGGUGGCAAGCGUUGUCCGGAUUUACUGGGCGUACAGGGAGCGUAGGCGGUUGGAUAAGCCCUCCGUGAAAUCUCCAGGCUUAACCUGGAAAGUGCAGAGGGGACUGUUCAGCUAGAGGAUGGGAGAGGAGCGCGGAAUUCCCGGUGUAGCGGUGAAAUGCGUAGAGAUCGGGAGGAAGGCCGGUGGCGAAGGCGGCGCUCUGGAACAUUUCUGACGCUGAGGCUCGAAAGCGUGGGGAGCAAACAGG